CUUCUUUUUCAUCAACAAUCGUUCUUGGUUAUGUCUCGGGAGGCUCUGCAAAACGAUCAUGAUCAGCGUGAAAUGGAUCCAAUACAAUGUGUGAUGAGAUCAGAAGCGAAUUUCCCGAUACAAUCUAUGACCCAUGAAACCAUUCCAAUGAGAAGGCAUGUGCCCCAUUGUGCACAGUUCAGCCUCGCACUGCCCCCAACCCAAUGCUCUAUCUCAAUGAAGGCUGCCUGCAACCCCAUAAUAACUGCCACAGCCACCCAAAACCAGAGGUUCUUCUUGAUGCCCUGGAACAUGUUCUUCUUCUCCAGCUUUCUGCAAUUGAAUAGAUUGAAAACCUGGCAGAGAACAAAACUGUUGAACACCAAGGAUUUAUUGACCUUGGGGCUGAUGCCUAGGAUGGCCUUCCCCUUGAAUUGGAUUGUCACUAAAAUGGCAACCUGGUAUGAGGCUUGAGUGAUUUUGUUUCUCCACAUGGCCCAGGUUAUCAGUUUUCCACCUUGUCCUACUGGUUGCUUACCUAUUAGUUUCUCCGCUGGUGGCUCUGUCAACAGAGCCAAUCCCCCCGGGAUGCCCACAAUCACACUCCCGAAGGCGAGUUGAAUUGCAGUUAUUGGGGCAUCCCCCGAAUGCCCCAUGGUGAUGAAGGUUACCAGCAACCCUGCGAUGACCAUGGUGAGCUCAUGCUGCAUGUACUUUUGGACGUUUUCAUAUGCACACCUUCCGUGCCUCAUGAUGGUCACAAGGACACUAAAAUUGCCAUCAAAGAUGACGAUAUCAGAAGUCUCUUUGGCCAUUUUGGUGCUCCAAGUCCCCAUUGUCACCCCUACAUCAGCUUGUCUUAUGGCUGGAGUCUCAUCUGUCCUGGCUCCAAUGACAGCUACCGUGUGACCCUUUUGCUUCAAACACUCCACUAAAAGAAGCUUGUCAGAGGGAAGGGCGUUUCCCAUGAUGGAGAUUCGAUCUACCCUAUCCAUCCUCUCUUCCUCGGUGUAAUUCCGAAAUGCAUUACCAUCAAGAACCAGAGAAUUGGGGUCAGACAUACCACACUGAACAGCUAUGUCUCGCAGCUCUGAAAUGUUGUCACUUGAGACCAUCUUGAUAUUAAUCCCAGCAUUUCUACAAGCUUGCACAGCUUCUUUUGUCUCUGUCCACUCUGUGUCCCUCAGACUCAAUAGUCCUAUCAAGAUUAAGCUGUUUUCUUCACUUGAGUCAUUAAUUUCCUUGUAGGCAAAUGCCAUGGUUUUGAGUUUUUUGGACUGCAUCUGCUGGAUAAAUUUUUCAAAAUCCAUCCUCUUCUCUCCCAUGUCCUUUUUUUUCCCUUCACUGUCAUAGUAGGAUGAACACUGGGUCAGUAUAGUUGUUGCAGGGCCUUUCCAGUGCAAGCACUCAACUGUUUCAUUGCCCCGGGUCUUCCUCAGCAACACUUGACUUCCUCCCUCAUUGGAGUUCAAUUCUUCAGCCCCAACAAAGGUGCAACUCUGCUUUAAAAUAUCUUGCUUCAUGCCUAACCUGGAUUUAGCCCAGGAAACAACCUCUUCCUCUUCUAAGCCACAAGGAUUCUCUUGGUCCAGAACUAGUGCGUAGAUACCAUAACACAGAGCAUCAAUUACAUCUGGAUGUAUGACAGAGUCGCCAUUGAUAUCUUCUCCACCAAUCCUGCAGGUUUUCACUUGUACUGUGCUCGUUGUUAGCCCCCCAAUUUUGUCAGUGCAGAUGGCUGUUGCUGAUCCCAAGAUUGCACAAGCUGAUAAUUCCUUAACAAGGGCAUUUCCAGACAGUGCUUUCUUAUUCCCAUAUGCGAGUGAAACGAUGAUAACAAGAGGAUAUCCUUCUAUUACUCCUACUAGCAGCAUAUUAAGUGAGGUUAUCAACAUACUUAGCUGCCCUGUUGGUUUCACAAUAAUCCUCUUGACCGCAUCCAUCAAGUCCUUGAUUGUGGAUGGUUUUCCCUUCAACGAUGGGAGCCCCGGCUUAUCAUCUUCAUUUUCAAGUGUAAGGCGCAGGAAUAGCACUACAAUAAUGAAGAUAGAGAUGAGAAGCCCAAAAAUUUCUGUCCGAGUGUUCACCUUGUCUAGUUGAGCUUGUAAAGGUGUCUUAUUAGGAGCUUGGAUUACUUUCCUCAUCAUCUCACCCCACUCUGUGUUCAUGCCAACUGAUGUGACAAGCAUGCGACCGUUUCCGCUAAUCACUUUUGCACCAUAAAACAUAAAUGGGUUUCGGUCAUGAAUGAUGGACUCUGAUUGACCAUCCAGUUCUAAUGCUUCCCCUGGUACAAGUAAACCAUCAGCGGGAACAAGAUAUCCCCUUUUGAUACAUAGUAUGUCACCCAACACUAUGUCAGAGGUGGAGGAGAGUUUCUUCUGGGAUCCCCCUCUUAAAACUUCGACCACUGUUUCCAUCUUUUCUGAGAGCUCGUGUUUUCCUGACGACCUAUGUUGGGUUUCACGCCAGAAAUCACGAAUUGAAUGACACACAACGAUUAUGAUGAUGGCAACAAGUAUAAUGAAUCCUUCGUACCAACCAGUCUCUAGGCCUUCCUUCUUGAUCCCAAAGCCGAGGUACAACGCCAUCGACAACAAAAGGAGGAAAAUGAUGUAGCUGUUGCAAGCUUUUAAGAGGCACUGAAAGAAGGUUGGUGAUGGCUCUGUUUUUGAGAUUGGGCUGGCUAAGCGUCGAAGAUGAAGAUCCUGCUCGUCACCUGGGAUCAUCCCCUUCUCUAAGUCGGUGUGAAGAGCCUCUGCAAUCCCUGGGACACCGCCAAACUUCAUUAGGGAAUCCAAAUCCUUGUUCUUUACAAUUGUGGCAAUGUUGGCAUGUUGGAGAUUUGCAUUAGUGCUACUGCGGACAUCACCCGCAUCAGACGGGAUAUCUAGAGAGACUUGAGGUGAUGGAGGCAAGAUUCCCACAGUCCCAUUUGGCUCUGAGUCCUGCAAAAUGGUAAGCAGCACAUUAUAAAGGAAUAGGGUGGUAGAGGGUUGGCGGUGUUCGUUCCAUGUGGGGUUGAGUUAAGGGAGCUUUUAAAGUCUGCUCAGUUUCAAUUCAAUCCAUUGGACAAUCCUUCUAAAAUUGUUUUUAUGUUGUGCACCAAUAACCAAACAGCCCAACCCUUCUCUCUCGCAGAACUAACCACACCCACAGUGAACACCUAAACACAGCAUAACAAAACAAUUGUCUAGAGCCACUCAAAAUUUAACCUGGCACUUCCGGCACCAUUUUUGUUUGGGAGCAAGAAGAAUGAGAUGAACAUGUCCAAUGACAGCUUGGAGAAGGGGCAGUGCAAGGGUGGCAGCGACAGUGAAGAGGAGCGGCAGCAGCCGCUGGUGAUGACUGAUGAGAGACAACUACUAUGGCUGUGAGGUGAAUGCCUUUUUUCACCUAUGAGUUGUCCUUAAAUUGUUUUCAGGAAGGGAUGAUCAUUAGACCGGUGGAACCGUAGUAUAUAAAAUCAUAAAUAUAUUAUUGAAAUUUAAAAUAAUUAUAAAAAUAAAAUAAAACUCUAUAUCUAGGUCACUUCUUAUACCUUAGCACCAAGAUUAUAUUAUUUGUGUUACCUAAGACAUUUUUUUUGUUAUUAGAUUGCAUUUUUCUAUACAUUAGUACCCAUGUUACAUUUUUCGUAUUUAAAUUACUUUUUUUUUUUAAUCUUAA
This is a long non-coding RNA of Vitis riparia (riverbank grape), 3648 nucleotides long. RefSeq lists it as uncharacterized. The transcript is spliced from 2 exons. Lineage: Eukaryota; Viridiplantae; Streptophyta; Magnoliopsida; Vitales; Vitaceae. The record is from RefSeq and is a predicted model, not a curated record.